AUAUCAAUAAGCGGAGGAAAAGAAACCAACAGGGAUUGCCUCAGUAGCGGCGAGUGAAGCGGCAAAAGCUCAAAUUUGAAAUCUGGCGUCUUUGGCGUCCGAGUUGUAAUUUGAAGAAGGUAUCUUUGGGCCCGGCUCUUGUCUAUGUUCCUUGGAACAGGACGUCACAGAGGGUGAGAAUCCCGUGCGAUGAGAUGACCCGGGUCUGUGUAAAGUUCCUUCGACGAGUCGAGUUGUUUGGGAAUGCAGCUCUAAGUGGGUGGUAAAUUCCAUCUAAAGCUAAAUAUUGGCGAGAGACCGAUAGCGAACAAGUACAGUGAUGGAAAGAUGAAAAGAACUUUGAAAAGAGAGUGAAAAAGUACGUGAAAUUGUUGAAAGGGAAGGGCUUGAGAUCAGACUUGGUAUUUUGCAUGCUGCUCUCUCGGGGGCGGCCGCUGCGGUUUACCGGGCCAGCAUCGGUUUGGAGCGGCAGGAUAAUGGCGGAGGAAUGUGGCACGGCUUCUGCUGUGUGUUAUAGCCUCUGACGAUACUGCCAGCCUAGACCGAGGACUGCGGUUUUUAACCUAGGAUGUUGGCAUAAUGAUCUUAA
This 589-nucleotide ribosomal RNA is filed under the name Candida albicans. RNAcentral's name for it is "eukaryotic LSU rRNA". It matches the Rfam family "Eukaryotic large subunit ribosomal RNA", at positions 40 to 643 of the family's 3401-position model. The record is from RNAcentral. Lineage: Eukaryota; Fungi; Ascomycota; Pichiomycetes; Serinales; Debaryomycetaceae.